RNAcentral lists this transfer RNA (85 nucleotides) under Nereida ignava. RNAcentral's name for it is "tRNA-Leu(tag)". It matches the Rfam family "tRNA". From Rfam's summary of the family: Transfer RNA (tRNA) molecules are approximately 80 nucleotides in length. Their secondary structure includes four short double-helical elements and three loops (D, anti-codon, and T loops). Lineage: Bacteria; Pseudomonadati; Pseudomonadota; Alphaproteobacteria; Rhodobacterales; Roseobacteraceae. The record is from RNAcentral. RNAcentral also lists the same sequence under 8 other names.
GCGGGUGUGGCGGAAUUGGUAGACGCACCAGAUUUAGGUUCUGGCGCCGCGAGGCGUGGGGGUUCAAGUCCCUUCACCCGUACCA